UGAGGUCGAUCUCCUGCUUGGUGACGUUGUCUGUCACGAAGUAGUUCUCGGAGGCGUCCACCACCGACUGGUCCCCGUCGUCCCUGCUGCUCCUUCCCUGCUGAUGUCCCUGCACCAGCGGCGGCCACACAGUGCCCUCCUCCCGGCAGCAGCCCAGCAGGGAUGGCAGCGGGCAGGCCUCUGCUCACACCCCUUCCUGCUCCUCCUGGGAACUCCCGGAGGCCAUCCCGCUCCGCAUGUCCCGAGUGGUCCCACCUCGGCCACAGCCCCACGGAGCAGCAGGGGCCACCAGCCCGGAGUCAGUCGGCAAGGACGGCCCUGCUCCUCUGUUGACAGUUUGUCAGGAGCCACCAUGAGUCACCAAUAAGUGGCGGAAGACUGUUAAUCACCACCCGGAAUGUGCAGCCGCUGCCGGUUGCCCAGGAGCAGACUCAUGACCCUUUCGAGGUGCCCGUCACUUGGGACGCACCCGGCCGGGCAGGCUGCACCGGGGCUGUUAACAGGGAGCGGCACGGUCGCCUUCUGCUCUACCCAGCCUUCUGGGUAGACCCCAGAAGACCCCCGGCGGGGCCUUCCUCAGCAUGCUGCCUCGUGCCCCUGGACACGCAGCCGGCCAAGGCGGGGAGCUUGAAGACCAAGCUGCCACGGAAGCCAGAGACGCCCCCGGUGCCCUGGGGCAGGGUGAGGCCAGGGCCCCAACCAGCCCUGGUGGUUCGGGACCUCCAGGGGGUCGGAGGUCACAACCCGUGCCCCCGGCCCUGGCCUGGCCUCUGCGGUUCCUCCCUGCCCCUUACCCUCCUCCUUCCUCCAAGUCAGGCCCCUGGGGACAGGGGCUCGGGUCUCCCGUGUGCCCACGCGUUUUCACGAUGUGUACACACAUGGGUCUUGUCUGGGCCACGCAUGCUGCCUGUGUCUGCCUGCGGUCCGAUGCAUGUUGUGUAUACACGCCGGCCACAUGCACAGGACGUGGCGUGUAUACGGGGGUUCAGGCCACGAGCUCCGCUGUGAGUGUGCAUGCUUGCCCGGGCACGAGCACGGUGCGUAUCACAUGGACGUGCGCAUGCACUCAGUUUUGCACACAGCCAUCCUCUGGGGGUGUGCGGCCUGCUCACUGCACACGGGGAGUCCGCCGUGGCGGCUCGUGUGCGCAGUUUACACACGGAUCCCUCGCGUGCAAAACUGUUCUCUGCAGACACGUUUGCUGCGCCCACACGGAGCACCCGCUUUGCCGCACUGUAUGAUCCGCACGUGCCGCGCGUCCACAUACAUGGCGUCCACACGUGCCACGCCGCACACUGAAUUUACAUAUCCCGUAUGAGGUGAUGUGUACACAGCACACACGUGGACAUGCGCACCCGGAAACUGCGGCGGGUGUGACUCUCCGUGUCUUCUGCACCCACGGACACGCUGACCUGCACACACGGGACCAGGAGCUCCAGCCGCACCUCCGUGGGCACUCGCUUUACCUGAGUCCGGACGCUACGGGUGACGCGCACACACACCCUGGGCAGAUACGCUCGGAAAGCAAAGCCCGUCUGCCCAGACGGGCCCUCGGCGGGAGGUCACAGGCACUUACACGCUGGUCAUAACACGAUGGCCCACACACACGUAAAAUGUGCAUUCCUGACGUUUAUGGAGCUCGGAGCCCGGGCCUCACGGGGCGCCCACUGCCAGCCACCGGGAGGGUCUCGAGACCGCCCCGGUUUAUACCCACUCGUGGCCGUGGCUGUCUUAGGAGGUGGCGGGGCUGACCUUGUGCCUUUCCUUAGCCUGGGGCCGCGUGCACCGGGAAGGAACACAGGGAUCUCUGGGAAAGGGCAGCCACCCGCCCAGCAAACGCUUCUGACGGUUCUUGGCCAGCACCCGUGAGGGUCAUUUACACGCCCCUCUCUACCUUCCUGGACGUCUGUGUUCUGCUUUCCACACACCGGUCUGCACCCACGGGCACGUGGCAUGCAUAGUGAGGCACGAAACUAUCCUCUCUUACACAACCCCCCACACCCACUGUGUGCGCACACAUGUCCGUGGAGCAGAAGUACAGGACAAGGGUGAGGAACACAGCGUCUGGGCCCACGCCCCUCGUCCCUUACUAGCUGUGUGACCUUGGGCGAGUCUCUACCCACCCCAGCAUCUUUCUGCUUUUUUUGGCCCCGGCAAGAGGGCUUCCUGUGGGGAUGGCGUGCAUGCGAAUGUGUACGUGUGCUAUGUGUACGCACAUGUAUAUGCACAGACAGUACACAUAUGCGCGUCUCA
This is a long non-coding RNA of Panthera uncia (snow leopard), 2253 nucleotides long. RefSeq lists it as uncharacterized. The transcript is spliced from 2 exons. Lineage: Eukaryota; Metazoa; Chordata; Mammalia; Carnivora; Felidae. The record is from RefSeq and is a predicted model, not a curated record.